Molecule: ribosomal RNA, 365 nt
Filed under: uncultured bacterium
Lineage: Bacteria
Description: bacterial SSU rRNA
Rfam family: Bacterial small subunit ribosomal RNA
Source: RNAcentral
UUGUCCGGAAUGAUUGGGCGUAAAGGGCGCGUAGGCGGCCUGCUAAGUCUGGAGUGAAAGUCCUGCUUUCAAGGUGGGAAUUGCUUUGGAUACUGGUGGGCUGGAGUGCAGGAGAGGAAAGCGGAAUUACCGGUGUAGCGGUGAAAUGCGUAGAGAUCGGUAGGAACACCAGUGGCGAAGGCGGCUUUCUGGACUGAAACUGACGCUGAGGCGCGAAAGCGUGGGGAGCAAACAGGAUUAGAUACCCUGGUAGUCCACGCGGUAAACGAUGAAUGCUAGGUGUAGGAGGUAUCGACCCCUUCUGUGCCGCAGUAAACACAAUAAGCAUUCCGCCUGGGGAAUACGGCCGCAAGGUUGAAACUCCA